Molecule: non-coding RNA, 108 nt
Organism: Acanthosepion pharaonis
Lineage: Eukaryota; Metazoa; Mollusca; Cephalopoda; Sepiida; Sepiidae
Source: the annotation of a GenBank genome assembly
UAUGACCACAUCACGUUGAAACACAGGUUCCCGUAUGAUCAUCCAAGUUAAGCAACGUCGAGUCUGGUCGGUACUUAGAUGGGUGACUGCUUGGGUGUACUAGGUGUU